UUUCUAUGUGCUCCCCGCAAACCGAGACCUAUAGGGAGGUUAAACGAGUCUCUCAUACCUUUUCCUGAGGGUGGAAAAGGAAUAUUUAAUUCA
Molecule: non-coding RNA, 93 nt
Filed under: unclassified sequences
Description: PhotoRC-II RNA
Rfam family: PhotoRC-II RNA
Source: RNAcentral